GAUGAACGCUGGCGGCGUGCCUAAUACAUGCAAGUCGAGCGAACAGACGAGGAGCUUGCUCCUCUGACGUUAGCGGCGGACGGGUGAGUAACACGUGGAUAACCUACCUAUAGACUGGGAUAACUUCGGGAAACCGGAGCUAAUACCGGAUAAUAUAUUGAACCGCAUGGUUCAAUAGUGAAAGACGGUUUUGCUGUCACUUAUAGAUGGAUCCGCGCCGCAUUAGCUAGUUGGUAAGGUAACGGCUUACCAAGGCAACGAUGCGUAGCCGACCUGAGAGGGUGAUCGGCCACACUGGAACUGAGACACGGUCCAGACUCCUACGGGAGGCAGCAGUAGGGAAUCUUCCGCAAUGGGCGAAAGCUUGACGGAGCAACGCCGCGUGAGUGAUGAAGGUCUUCGGAUCGUAAAACUCUGUUAUUAGGGAAGAACAAAUGUGUAAGUAACUAUGCACGUCUUGACGGUACCUAAUCAGAAAGCCACGGCUAACUACGUG
Molecule: ribosomal RNA, 496 nt
Filed under: uncultured bacterium
Lineage: Bacteria
Description: partial 16S ribosomal RNA
Rfam family: Bacterial small subunit ribosomal RNA
Source: RNAcentral